This 483-nucleotide ribosomal RNA is filed under the name uncultured bacterium. RNAcentral describes it as "bacterial SSU rRNA". It matches the Rfam family "Bacterial small subunit ribosomal RNA", at positions 48 to 524 of the family's 1533-position model. The record is from RNAcentral.
CUAACACAUGCAAGUCGAGCGGUAACAGGUGUAGCAAUACAUGCUGACGAGCGGCGAACGGGUGAGUAAUGCUUGGGAAUCUUCCCAGUAGUGGGGAAUAACCAGUCGAAAGAUUGGCUAAUACCGCAUACGUCGGAGACGAGAAAGCGGGGGAUCGUAAGACCUCGCGCUAUUGGAUGAGCCAAAGUCGGAUUAGCUAGUUGGUGGGGUAAUGGCCUACCAAGGCGACAAUCCGUAGCUGGUCUGAGAGGACGACCAGCCACACCGGAACUGAGACACGGUCCGGACUCCUACGGGAGGCAGCAGUGGGGAAUAUUGGACAAUGGGGGAAACCCUGAUCCAGCGACGCCGCGUGUGUGAAGAAGGCCUGCGGGUUGUAAAGCACUUUUAGUGGGGACAAAAAGUCACGGAUUAAUACUUCGUGAUCUUGAUUUAACUCACAGAAAAAGCACCGGCUAACUCUGUGCCAGCAGCCGCGGUAAU